Molecule: ribosomal RNA, 253 nt
Filed under: uncultured bacterium
Lineage: Bacteria
Description: partial 16S ribosomal RNA
Rfam family: Bacterial small subunit ribosomal RNA
Source: RNAcentral
UACGAAGGGGGCUAGCGUUGCUCGGAAUCACUGGGCGUAAAGCGCACGUAGGCGGCUUGUUAAGUCAGGGGUGAAAUCCUGGAGCUCAACUCCAGAACUGCCUUUGAUACUGGCGAGCUUGAGUCCGGGAGAGGUGAGUGGAACUGCGAGUGUAGAGGUGUAAUUCGUAGAUAUUCGCAAGAACACCAGUGGCGAAGGCGGCUCACUGGCCCGGUACUGACGCUGAGGUGCGAAAGCGUGGGGAGCAAACAGG